Molecule: microRNA, 19 nt
Filed under: Zea mays
Lineage: Eukaryota; Viridiplantae; Streptophyta; Magnoliopsida; Poales; Poaceae
Description: zma-miR169q-3p
Gene: zma-miR169q-3p
Source: miRBase by way of RNAcentral
GGCAGGCCUUCUGGCUAAG